RNAcentral lists this ribosomal RNA (446 nucleotides) under uncultured bacterium. RNAcentral describes it as "SSU rRNA". It matches the Rfam family "Bacterial small subunit ribosomal RNA", at positions 26 to 518 of the family's 1533-position model. The record is from RNAcentral.
AGAGCGAACGCUGGCGGCAGGCUUAACACAUGCAAGUCGAGCGGGCAUAGCAAUAUGUCAGCGGCAGACGGGUGAGUAACGCGUGGGAACGUACCUUUUGGUUCGGAACAACACAGGGAAACUUGUGCUAAUACCGGAUAAGCCCUUACGGGGAAAGAUUUAUCGCCGAAAGAUCGGCCCGCGUCUGAUUAGCUAGUUGGUGAGGUAAUGGCUCACCAAGGCGACGAUCAGUAGCUGGUCUGAGAGGAUGAUCAGCCACAUUGGGACUGAGACACGGCCCAAACUCCUACGGGAGGCAGCAGUGGGGAAUAUUGGACAAUGGGCGCAAGCCUGAUCCAGCCAUGCCGCGUGAGUGAUGAAGGCCCUAGGGUUGUAAAGCUCUUUGUGCGGGAAGAUAAUGACGGUACCGCAAGAAUAAGCCCGGCUAACUUCGCGCCAGCAGCCGC